RNAcentral lists this long non-coding RNA (310 nucleotides) under Vigna radiata. Its description in RNAcentral is "long non-coding RNA (VRAD_LNC001084)". The record is from RNAcentral. Lineage: Eukaryota; Viridiplantae; Streptophyta; Magnoliopsida; Fabales; Fabaceae.
AAAGAAAGAGCUCACUACAAGGGAAGGCUGGGAAAAAGAUAAGAGAGUUGUUCUUGAAAGAAGAAUUCACAAAUGUCUCUCUUGAAUCAAGGAACUUUGCUGACAAGAAAAACCAAAUUCCUUCUUAGCCAGCCAAGUUACAAGCCAUGAAAAGUCUUUGUGAUGACAACCUGGUUGUGAGUAUGUUUGAUUGUGGUUAAAUGAAAGGCAAAAUUAAUUUAUGUGACAUUGUAACAACAGAGAGAAACACCAGACCAUACACCUGUGAGUUGAGUGAGACACUUUUGAAUGCUUGAGUGAUAUAUUUUUU